CCUACGGGUGACAGCAGUGAGGAAUAUUGGUCAAUGGACGAGAGUCUGAACCAGCCAAGUAGCGUGAAGGAUGACUGCCCUAUGGGUUGUAAACUUCUUUUAUAUGGGAAUAAAAUGUUCCACGUGUGGGAUUUUGUAUGUACCAUAUGAAUAAGGAUCGGCUAACUCCGUGCCAGCAGCCGCGGUAAUACGGAGGAUCCGAGCGUUAUCCGGAUUUAUUGGGUUUAAAGGGAGCGUAGGUGGAUUGUUAAGUCAGUUGUGAAAGUUUGCGGCGCAACCGUAAAAUUGCAGUUGAAACUGGCAGUCUUGAGUACAGUAGAGGUGGGCGGAAUUCGUGGUGUAGCGGUGAAAUGCUUAGAUAUCACGAAGAACUCCGAUUGCGAAGGCAGUUCACUGGACUGCAACUGACACUGAGGCUCGAAAGUGUGGGUAUCAAACAGGAUUAGAUACCCCUGUAGUC
This 460-nucleotide ribosomal RNA is filed under the name uncultured bacterium. Its description in RNAcentral is "partial 16S ribosomal RNA". It matches the Rfam family "Bacterial small subunit ribosomal RNA", at positions 338 to 795 of the family's 1533-position model. The record is from RNAcentral.